AAAAAUGCCACUAACAAAAGAUUGGUGACACAUUUCACUAUUAGUUCUCGCAAACUUACCUCUAGGAUCUACUUCACGGGAGAUCUUAAUCGCAUCCGAGGUAGCAAGAUCUUGGUUGGCAGGGGAUACUGCCAAAAUGAUGCAAUUGGGCUGAAG
Rhodamnia argentea is the source of this 156-nucleotide long non-coding RNA. RefSeq lists it as uncharacterized. Lineage: Eukaryota; Viridiplantae; Streptophyta; Magnoliopsida; Myrtales; Myrtaceae. The transcript is spliced from 3 exons. The record is from RefSeq and is a predicted model, not a curated record.